RNAcentral lists this ribosomal RNA (27 nucleotides) under Staphylococcus aureus. RNAcentral also lists the same sequence under 1 other name. The record is from RNAcentral. Lineage: Bacteria; Bacillati; Bacillota; Bacilli; Caryophanales; Staphylococcaceae.
CACCUGUUCCCAUGCCGAACACAGAAG